GCCUCCGUAGCUCAAUGGAGAGAGCAGCGGGUUUCUACCCCGUUGGUUGUGGGUUCGAGUCCUACCGGAGGCA
RNAcentral lists this transfer RNA (73 nucleotides) under Ilumatobacter sp. RNAcentral describes it as "tRNA-Arg". It matches the Rfam family "tRNA". From Rfam's summary of the family: Transfer RNA (tRNA) molecules are approximately 80 nucleotides in length. Their secondary structure includes four short double-helical elements and three loops (D, anti-codon, and T loops). Further hydrogen bonds mediate the characteristic L-shaped molecular structure. tRNAs have two regions of fundamental functional importance: the anti-codon, which is responsible for specific mRNA codon recognition, and the 3' end, to which the tRNAs corresponding amino acid is attached (by aminoacyl-tRNA synthetases). tRNAs cope with the degeneracy of the genetic code in two manners: having more than one tRNA (with a specific anti-codon) for a particular amino acid; and 'wobble' base-pairing, i.e. permitting non-standard base-pairing at the 3rd anti-codon position. The record is from RNAcentral. RNAcentral also lists the same sequence under 3 other names. Lineage: Bacteria; Bacillati; Actinomycetota; Acidimicrobiia; Acidimicrobiales; Ilumatobacteraceae.